AACACAUGCAAGUCGAACGCGGUUGCCCCGCAAGGGUAACUGAGUGGCGGACGGGUGAGUAACACGAGGGUGACCUACCCUCGAGUGGGGAACAAUUCCCCGAAAGGGGUGCUAAUACCGCAUGACAUCCUGUCUUUGAACAGAUGGACAUUAAAGCCGGGGAUCGCAAGACCUGGCGCUCGUGGAGGGGCCCGCGCCCGAUUAGCUAGUUGGUGAGGUAACGGCUCACCAAGGCUUCGAUCGGUUACCGGCCUGAGAGGGCGGACGGACACACUGGGACUGAGACACGGCCCAGACUCCUACGGGAGGCAGCAGUGGGGAAUUGUUCGCAAUGGGCGAAAGCCUGACGACGCAACGCCGCGUGGAGGACGAAGAUCUUCGGGUCGUAAACUCCUUUCGAUCGGGACGAAUGAUCGGCGACCUAAAACGUCGCCGGAAUGACGGUACCGAGAGAAGAAG
This 459-nucleotide ribosomal RNA is filed under the name grassland soil clone sl1_207. RNAcentral's name for it is "bacterial SSU rRNA". It matches the Rfam family "Bacterial small subunit ribosomal RNA", at positions 50 to 490 of the family's 1533-position model. The record is from RNAcentral.